Molecule: ribosomal RNA, 501 nt
Filed under: uncultured bacterium
Lineage: Bacteria
Description: partial 16S ribosomal RNA
Rfam family: Bacterial small subunit ribosomal RNA
Source: RNAcentral
AUUGAACGCUGGCGGCAGGCUUAACACAUGCAAGUCGAGCGGGGGAAGGUAGCUUGCUACCGGACCUAGCGGCGGACGGGUGAGUAAUGCUUAGGAAUCUGCCUAUUAGUGGGGGACAACAUCUCGAAAGGGAUGCUAAUACCGCAUACGUCCUACGGGAGAAAGCAGGGGAUCUUCGGACCUUGCGCUAAUAGAUGAGCCUAAGUCGGAUUAGCUAGUUGGUGGGGUAAAGGCCUACCAAGGCGACGAUCUGUAGCGGGUCUGAGAGGAUGAUCCGCCACACUGGGACUGAGCCACGGCCCAGACUCCUACGGGAGGCAGCAGUGGGGAAUAUUGGACAAUGGGGGGAACCCUGAUCCAGCCAUGCCGCGUGUGUGAAGAAGGCCUUAUGGUUGUAAAGCACUUUAAGCGAGGAGGAGGCUACUUUGGUUAAUACCUAGAGAUAGUGGACGUUACUCGCAGAAUAAGCACCGGCUAACUCUGUGCCAGCCGCCGCGGUAA